AUUGAACGCUGGCGGCAGGCCUAACACAUGCAAGUCGAGCGGAUGAAGGGAGCUUGCUCCUGGAUUCAGCGGCGGACGGGUGAGUAACGCCUAGGAAUCUGCCUGGUAGUGGGGGAUAACGUCCGGAAACGGGCGCUAAUACCGCAUACGUCCUGAGGGAGAAAGUGGGGGAUCUUCGGACCUCACGCUAUCAGAUGAGCCUAGGUCGGAUUAGCUAGUUGGUGGGGUAAAGGCCUACCAAGGCGACGAUCCGUAACUGGUCUGAGAGGAUGAUCAGUCACACUGGAACUGAGACACGGUCCAGACUCCUACGGGAGGCAGCAGUGGGGAAUAUUGGACAAUGGGCGAAAGCCUGAUGCAGCCAUGCCGCGUGUGUGAAGAAGGUCUUCGGAUUGUAAAGCACUUUAAGUUGGGAGGAAGGGCAGUAAGUUAAUACCUUGCUGUUUUGACGUUACCAACAGAAUAAGCACCGGCUAACUUCGUG
RNAcentral lists this ribosomal RNA (484 nucleotides) under uncultured bacterium. Its description in RNAcentral is "partial 16S ribosomal RNA". It matches the Rfam family "Bacterial small subunit ribosomal RNA", at positions 30 to 507 of the family's 1533-position model. The record is from RNAcentral.